This 466-nucleotide ribosomal RNA is filed under the name uncultured bacterium. RNAcentral's name for it is "SSU rRNA". It matches the Rfam family "Bacterial small subunit ribosomal RNA", at positions 26 to 518 of the family's 1533-position model. The record is from RNAcentral.
AGGGUAAACGCUGGCGGCGUGCCUAAAACAUGCAAGUCGAACGCACAGUCUUCGGAUUGUGAGUGGCAGACGGCUGAGUAACGCGUGGGUGACGUACCUAUCGAUGGGGAAUAACUGCCCGAAAGGGUGGCUAAUACCGCAUACGCCCGCUUCUGCAUUGGGGUGGGGAAAGUUUCGCAAGCGACGUCGAUGGAGCGGCCCGCGUCCGAUUAGCUGGUUGGUGGGGUAACGGCCUACCAAGGCGACGAUCGGUAGCUGGUCUCAGAGGAUGAUCAGCCAGACUGGGACUGAGACACGGCCCAGACUCCUACGGGAGGCAGCAGUUAGGAAUUUUGGGCAAUGGGCGCAAGCCUGACCCAGCAACGCCGCGUGGGUGACGAAGGCCUUCGGGUUGUAAGCCCUUUCUGAGGGAGAUGAUGACGGUACCGUCAGGAAGAGCACCGGCUAACUACGUGCCAGCAGCCGC